UUGACGGUGUGACGGUAUAGAUGUAGUUUAAGAAUUUUUUAUAAGCCAAUUAAUCAGGUAAUAUUUUUAGCACAGUAAUAUGGUAACAUUUCGAAAGUAGAUUUGUAAAAUAAUUUCCGAUAAGUCGAUAUCGCUAUGUAUUUGUACUAUAGAGGCGUGUUCCGGGUACAUUAUUUAUAUAAAAACCGGGUAACGAGUAUUGACCGGGUAAUAAUAAUGUUUGUUAAAACCGAGUUUCGGAUACAAUCGAGUAAUAAUUUACAUAGAGACCGGGUACCGAGUAU
Molecule: non-coding RNA, 284 nt
Organism: Cinara cedri
Lineage: Eukaryota; Metazoa; Arthropoda; Insecta; Hemiptera; Aphididae
Source: the annotation of a GenBank genome assembly